Molecule: ribosomal RNA, 468 nt
Filed under: uncultured bacterium
Lineage: Bacteria
Description: partial 16S ribosomal RNA
Rfam family: Bacterial small subunit ribosomal RNA
Source: RNAcentral
GACGAACGCUGGCGGCGUGCUUAACACAUGCAAGUCGAACGGAAAGGCCCUGCUUUUGUGGGGUGCUCGAGGGGCGAACGGGUGAGUAACACGUGAGUAACCUGCCCUUGACUUUGGGAUAACUUCAGGAAACUGGGGCUAAUACCGGAUAGGAGCUCCUGCUGCAUGGUGGGGGUUGGAAAGUUUCGGCGGGUGGGGAUGGACUCGCGGCUUAUCAGCUUGUUGGUGGGGUAGUGGCUUACCAAGGCUUUGACGGGUAGCCGGCCUGAGAGGGUGACCGGCCACAUUGGGACUGAGAGACGGCCCAGACUCCUACGGGAGGCAGCAGUGGGGAAUAUUGCACAAUGGGCGGAAGCCUGAUGCAGCAACGCCGCGUGCGGGAUGACGGCCUUCUGGUUGUAAACCGCUUUCGCCUGUGACGAAGCGUGAGUGACGGUAAUGGGUAAAGAAGCACCGGCUAACUACGUG